RNAcentral lists this ribosomal RNA (176 nucleotides) under uncultured actinomycete GT14-1. RNAcentral describes it as "partial 16S ribosomal RNA". Lineage: Bacteria; Bacillati; Actinomycetota; Actinomycetes; Actinomycetales. The record is from RNAcentral.
AUUACCGCGGCUGCUGGCACGUAGUUAGCCGGUGCUUUUUCUGCAGGUACCGUCACUUUCGCUUCUUCCCUACUAAAAGAGGUUUACAACCCGAAGGGCCGUCGUCCCUCACGCGGCGUUGCUGCAUCAGGGCUUUCGCCCAUUGUGCAAUAUUCCCCACUGCUGCCUCCCGUAGG